AUUUAGCUGACGCGUCCCAAAUAGGACGAGAGGCGCAUCAAACUGGAU
This 48-nucleotide non-coding RNA is filed under the name Schistosoma bovis. RNAcentral also lists the same sequence under 1 other name. Lineage: Eukaryota; Metazoa; Platyhelminthes; Trematoda; Strigeidida; Schistosomatidae. The record is from RNAcentral.